AUUGAACGCUGGCGGCAGGCCUAACACAUGCAAGUCGAACGGUAACAGAAAGCAGCUUGCUGCUUUGCUGACGAGUGGCGGACGGGUGAGUAAUGUCUGAGCAACUGCCUGAUGGAGGGGGAUAACUACUGGAAACGGUAGCUACUACCGCAUAACGUCGCAAGACCAAAGAGGGGGACCUUCGGGCCUCUUGCCAUCGUAUGUGCCCAGAUGGGAUUAGCUAGUAGGUGGGGUAACGGCUCACCUAGUCGACGAUCCCUAGCUGGUCUGAGAGGAUGACCGGCGACACUGGAAGUGAGACACGGUCCAGACUCCUACGGUAGGCAGCAGUGGGGAAUAUUGGACAAUGGGCGCAAGCCUGAUGCAGCCAUGCCGCGUGUAUGAAGAAGGCCUUCGGGUUGUAAAGUACUUUCAGCGGGGAGGAAGGGAGUAAAGUUAAUACCUUGGCUCAUUGACGUUACCCGCAGAAGAAGCACCGGCUAACUCCGUG
RNAcentral lists this ribosomal RNA (490 nucleotides) under uncultured bacterium. Its description in RNAcentral is "partial 16S ribosomal RNA". It matches the Rfam family "Bacterial small subunit ribosomal RNA", at positions 30 to 507 of the family's 1533-position model. The record is from RNAcentral.